Molecule: small nucleolar RNA, 103 nt
Organism: Tupaia belangeri (northern tree shrew)
Lineage: Eukaryota; Metazoa; Chordata; Mammalia; Scandentia; Tupaiidae
Source: Ensembl
AUGUUUUAUGAUUUAUAAGUAUGAUGAUUUGGUUUUCAUACUGUUGUGUGAGAUGUGCCUCCUUCAAACUUUGUUAAGACAUUGGUACAGUACUCAACUGAGG